CAACAAACACGAUAACUUUUGAAAAAAAAAAAAGAAUUAUUAGAGAUUGGAACUCUCCAAGGUACGUGCGAGGUUGAUUAAGUUAUCGGUCAAAUCUCCAUGAAUCUUGUUGUUAUUUCUUGGUGUUUUAUUCGAUACGUUGGCCGCCUUUUCUUUAUGGUUCUUCUCGAUCAACAUGAAAUGUCGCAAGAAGCUUGAAAUUGUUAUUUAUAUGUAAAUCCAAAAUUUCAACUCGAUUGUUUCCGCCGUCACUGAAAUAUUGAAUAUUUUUCUUCCGAUAUUCUUAUGACGUUAAAUGAAUUGAAUCAGUAAUAUCUAUUUAGGAGAAGGUGGUUUAGUACCUUGGAAAAAUCUAUUGUUCGAUAAUAUUAUAUACAAACUUGAAUUAUGAUAAAAAGUUAAAAAAAAGAUCGAAUAGUCUCAAAAAUCUCACCCGAAUGUUAUCGGUGAGAUGCAACAUAUUUAACUCGAUUUAAGAACAAUUUCAACAUGGGAAAAUUUCGUAAGCCCUUAUGCCACUCUGCAACUAUUCCUUCUGAAACCAAUUUCCAACAACUGAACAAAGAGAGCAUACCAUGUUCGAUUUUGGAAUAUUUGCGAUUCCAACCGCAUUUUCCAAGAAUAAAAAAAUUUAACUGAUUUUAGUAGUUUAUUCCAUUUAUGUAGGAGCCAAAGAAUAUAUAUAUUCAUAUAUUUGUUCAUACAGGGUGUUUCCUAAUUAUGGGAUAAAACUUCAGGAGGCGAUAGUACCUACCUUCUCAUCAAAAUGAGAAAAAAGUUCUUAUGAAUAUAUUUCCGAAAAUGCUUCCGCUUCCUAUUACAGCCAUCCGGAGUUUUCAUUUUAAUCAUACAGGCUGAUUAACCGCGAUGGCUUUUUAGAAGUUCAUAGAAAACUAUGCCAUAACUUGGAUCAGUGGCGACGCUAGAGGGGGGUCAGGGGAGGCCCGGGCCCCCCCUAAAAUUUUGCUGGCUCCCCUAAAAUUUGACAUAGUAAGGCUAAAGGAGUGGAGUAGUCUGUGACUUCUAGAAAACACAGAUAGAAACUGAAAUUCGGUGUUUCGAUAAUUAAAUUUGAAAUUUCAUAAAUGAAAAUGAGUAUUCAUUCUUAUGAUUUGAAAAUUUUACUCGUCUAUCUAUCGAUGUAUCGAUUAAAUAAUUCCAACGAACAAUCAAUAACAAAUAAUUAAAUUACAAAUUUAGGUAUAACUAAGAUGUCUAAAAACCUGCUGGUGUAUGGACUGAUUAUUUUGUUUUGCCAAUUUUGAGAAUAUUAGUUAAACUUCGAUUCAUUCUAGUAAACGUUUUGUUUUGUUUCACGACUUUGCACGAUCAUACUCGGUUACACAUCGCUUUUGAUUGGCGAGGAUCGGGUUUUAAUUAAUGUAUCCAAUGAAAAUCAAAGGAAAAAGAUCGUGAUGACAGGUAUGACAUUGCGGCGCCGCCACGAAAUAAAACUAAAUAUUCUCAAUUAGUCGAAUGUCAUUGCAUGAAGAAAUUGACGAGUGCAUACACCAUGUUUCUAGACAUCUUAGAUAUAACUAUAGGUAAAAUUUGAAUUUGGAACACCGAAUUUUAUUUUAUUUCUGUGUUUUCCAGAUUCACAGACUACUUCCACCAUCUUCCUCUACCCGCCUCUAUUUUUAUACUGAAUUUGCUGAAAUUGACUGAAAGAACAAAAAAUAUAGGUUCCAAUUUGAAAAUCUUGAGUUUUGAUAAAUAUGAGAUGUCCAAGUUCCUGAAAUGAUAUUUUGGUCGAAAUCACAAAACUUAUAUUUGCAGGAUCGAAAAUAAAGCUUUCUUCGAGAAAAACUUUCUGCAGAAGUAUUCAAGAAAAUGAUACGCUAAAACGGACUAAAUAUUUGGACCCGAAGCUCAUGAGUUACAGAUACUCCCAAAGAUCCUAAAUGAAAAGUAACUGUCAUGCGCGAGAAUGACGAGAAUUCCCUUCAAAUACGAUUUCAACGUUGAUGUUAUUUUGUUUCAAACGACAACAAAAUUUACAUUUUCUGUUGUUUCCCAUUUUAAUUGCAGAGUGGGAUGAAACAGAUGAAAUUUGGUAUUAUUAUAACAGCUACAAAAAUAUACAAAAUUUUCUGCAGACCAAUUUUUAAUAUAAACACAUUAUACAGAACUGAACUAGUGCCAAUAAGGAAAAGACUGCAAAAAUUUCCAAGGAAACUCUUCUAAAGUCUACACAACAUAGAACUAAAGUGACCAUUGAUGCAAAUAUGAUAGAAGUUGUUUAUUAUUAUUAUAUUUAUUUGUAGGUUGAUCAAUUAAUGUGAUUUGAUAAUAUGAAAAAGAAUUUUUUAUGAUGAGAUUGAAUUGAAAGUUCCCUUUCGUUACUAUGAAUAAGUAUUCAAAUUAAAGCUUCUUAAUUAUUUUAUGUGAAUUAAGAAAUUUAUUGUUGGUAAUAAUGGAUUGAACUUUAAGAAAUUACAUUAAAACAUCUAGAAAUGGAUUUUUGAAAGUACUACUAGCAUGUUUUAUAUUAGGAUUAGUUUGACAUUUCACCUUGUUAAUAAUUUCAAAAUUUAAAUCAAUGUGUUAUGUGAAGGAUCAGGACAAGAAAAAAUUAUUAUUAUUGUAGCAUCCCUUAUAUAUGGAUUAUUCAGAAACCACUCAUGAAUCUCAAAAAAGAUUUCUCUUGGGUUUUCAAUACAGAAUAGGGUAAUAUCAUUCAGUGAUUAUGGUUAAGUAAACAAUCGGGACAAAAAUAAGUAUAUGGUUAAUAAAAAAAAUGGAGGACCAAUUUUGUCACUUGUAUCAUAAUAAAUAUUAAUUUAAUAUUUCUUUUGUUUUAAUAAGAAAUCCAAAUUGUUAAUUUUUAGGUUUUCUUGCACUAUAAUAAUAUAUUGAAUAGUUUAACGAUAUUACUGGGCAGAUGCUCCAUUACUAAAAAUGCUAAUGAGGUCAUUUUAUUUUCAGAUUAGGAUAUAAUGCAUAUAAUGGAAAUAUAAUAAAGUCUGUAUCAAAUUCUUUACAGCAUAGAGAAUUUUGGCUGUUCAAUACAGUUAAGAAUACACUUUCAUUGAGUUAUUCUCAAUCUACAUUACUCACUUUGAUAUAAUUAUGGGAAAUGAAAUCGUAUAAUCAAUACAGGAAGAAGUUUAUUGUAAGAAAACUUACAGUUGUUCAAAAUUAUAU
Molecule: long non-coding RNA, 3147 nt
Organism: Harmonia axyridis
Lineage: Eukaryota; Metazoa; Arthropoda; Insecta; Coleoptera; Coccinellidae
Exons: 3
Source: RefSeq, a predicted model, not a curated record